RNAcentral lists this ribosomal RNA (257 nucleotides) under uncultured bacterium. RNAcentral describes it as "partial 16S ribosomal RNA". It matches the Rfam family "Bacterial small subunit ribosomal RNA", at positions 793 to 1055 of the family's 1533-position model. The record is from RNAcentral.
GUCCACACGGUAAACGAUGAAUACUCGCUGUUGGCGAUAUAAUGUCAGCGGCCAAGCGAAAGCAUUAAGUAUUCCACCUGGGGAGUACGCCGGCAACGGUGAAACUCAAAGGAAUUGACGGGGGCCCGCACAAGCGGAGGAACAUGUGGUUUAAUUCGAUGAUACGCGAGGAACCUUACCCGGGCUUAAAUUGCACUGGACAGGCCAAGAGAUUGGCUUUUCUUCGGACCAGUGUGAAGGUGCUGCAUGGUUGUCGU